CCAAGGCUAAAUACUACUGACUGACCGAUAGUGAACCAGUACCGUGAGGGAAAGGCGAAAAGAACCCCUGUGAGGGGAGUGAAAUAGAACCUGAAACCGUGUACGUACAAGCAGUAGGAGCAGGCUUUGUCCUGUGACUGCGUACCUUUUGUAUAAUGGGUCAGCGACUUAUAUUCAGUGGCAAGGUUAACCAUCUAGGGGAGCCGUAGGGAAACCGAGUCUUAACUGGGCGUUCAGUCUCUGGAUAUAGACCCGAAACCAGGUGAUCUAGCCAUGGGCAGGUUGAAGGUUGAGUAACAUCAACUGGAGGAC
RNAcentral lists this ribosomal RNA (312 nucleotides) under Vibrio parahaemolyticus. RNAcentral's name for it is "partial 23S ribosomal RNA". It matches the Rfam family "Bacterial large subunit ribosomal RNA", at positions 460 to 774 of the family's 2925-position model. The record is from RNAcentral. Lineage: Bacteria; Pseudomonadati; Pseudomonadota; Gammaproteobacteria; Vibrionales; Vibrionaceae.